GAGAAAACCUGCCCUUCCAUCCAAGCCAUGUAGGACCACUUCGGCCAUUGUGGGUAAGGCCUAUGAGGCAGCGGGUCAAGCGGGUGCAGCGCUGCACACCAUGGCGGUCUUGCAGGCCUAUCAGGCUGAUCUGCUAGCAGAGCUGGAUG
This is a long non-coding RNA of Tachysurus fulvidraco (yellow catfish), 149 nucleotides long. RefSeq lists it as uncharacterized. NCBI's taxonomy places the organism in Eukaryota, Metazoa, Chordata, Actinopteri, Siluriformes, Bagridae. The record is from RefSeq and is a predicted model, not a curated record. The transcript has 3 exons.